This is an RNA transcript of Fragaria vesca subsp. vesca, 1089 nucleotides long. RefSeq lists it as uncharacterized. The transcript has 3 exons. Lineage: Eukaryota; Viridiplantae; Streptophyta; Magnoliopsida; Rosales; Rosaceae. The record is from RefSeq and is a predicted model, not a curated record.
GAUAUAUAGCUGGGAAAGCAUAUAUAUCAUUUGGUGUCCAUGCACUAAUUCUCUAAAACUUGAAUGAGAGAAAAUAGCUUAGAAAACAACAAAGUUGCCUAAACAUUAUGGGUUUCAUGUGUCUCAAGAAGUUCACUAUCCUUAUUCUCCUGAUUUCUGCAUCAUCACUUUUAUCGGCCUCAUCUGCAGCAGGUAGACAAUCCAAGUUUGUCAAUAAGUUGGCUAAAGAAGCAGUGGAUGCAAAUCCAGAGGAAGUACUAGGGAAGCCAUUGAGCCACAAGGAAGCUGCCAGAAUCCAUGAAAGGCUUCUCAGGGUUAACACAAAAGAUUACGGACGAUACGAUCCAGCACCUGCUCUUGUUAAGCCUCCUUUCAAGCUCAUCCCAAACUGAUCAUGAUUUACAUAUCAAAGUUGGAAGUUGGAGUAGUAGUGUCUUAUCAUUAAAUAAAACGAACUAGCUUAUGGUACUUGCUAUAAAGUACUCUUGAAGGAAUCUCCUGCUAAUGUAAGUAUAUGACAUAUAUAGACAAUAUAAAUACUAAGUUUUGAGGUGUAAUAUCAACGAGUCGUUUUCUUAUGACGAACUUUGUCAGUCGUUUAUUGAAAGAUGUCAAACUUGCCAAAUUGUUAUGGUAAUUAUCUAAGUAAACUCACAUUUUCUUGCUAAUAAAGCUCAGCCGAGAAAGCAAAUAUCGACAUAAAAGGACCCGAGGCUCAGGUUCUAUAGUCUGCAAGGUCGGGCGCAGACCCUUCGAAAUAGAAAUCAGCUUCUUACACCCUUUGGAAGACUCAUGGCAUAUACAAGGGUAAAAGUUGUCACCUCAGUUGGUUUAAGUGACCCUAUAUAUUGCCAUUCAAUUAAUUCCAGUACAUGAGCAAAAAGGGUUCUUUGUAUAUUUAGUUGUUGGAUACCUGCUCUGCUUUUUUGAGAAGAGAGCACAACCACCUUGCAAUUGUUGUCUACUCUAAAAUGAUUCCUAUGUAAAGCUAGAGGUGUUUACGUUGAUUCAAACAAAAGGUACCCAACCUUUCUUGGGGUGUGAAUUUGAAGGAGCUUGGGAGAGUUCUAGCUUGUGAAAAUUCAAGUC